This is a long non-coding RNA of Carassius carassius (crucian carp), 151 nucleotides long. RefSeq lists it as uncharacterized. Lineage: Eukaryota; Metazoa; Chordata; Actinopteri; Cypriniformes; Cyprinidae. The record is from RefSeq and is a predicted model, not a curated record. The transcript is spliced from 2 exons.
UUUUUUUUGUUGGCUCUGUUAAAGCACUUUAUUCUGUUUAAUAACCAAGGUUAGUUAGUUAGAUUUGGGGCAAGUUCCUCUAAAUAUAAACUAUGUCUGAAUGUUAAUACCUGCCUAAAUCUAAUAAAUACUUUUCUGAAGUUCAUAUUGU